This 482-nucleotide ribosomal RNA is filed under the name uncultured bacterium. Its description in RNAcentral is "partial 16S ribosomal RNA". It matches the Rfam family "Bacterial small subunit ribosomal RNA", at positions 30 to 507 of the family's 1533-position model. The record is from RNAcentral.
AUUGAACGCUGGCGGCAUGCCUUACACAUGCAAGUCGAACGGUAACAGGUCUUCGGAUGCUGACGAGUGGCGCACGGGUGAGUAAUACAUCGGAACGUGCCCGAUCGUGGGGGAUAACGAGGCGAAAGCUUUGCUAAUACCGCAUACGAUCUACGGAUGAAAGCGGGGGAUCUUCGGACCUCGCGCGGACGGAGCGGCCGAUGGCAGAGUAGGUAGUUGGUGGGAUAAACGCUUACCAAGGCGACGGUCUGUAGCUGGCCUGAGAGGAUGAUCAGCCACACUAAGACUGAGACACGGCCCUGACGCCUAAGAGAGGCAGCAGUGGGGAAUUUUGGACAAUGAGCGAAAGCCUGAUCCAGCCAUGCCGCGUGCAGGAUGAAGACCUUCUGGUUGUAAACUGCUUUUAUACGGAACGAAAAGCCUUUGUCUAAAGUAGAGGGGUCAUGACGGUACCGUACGAAUAAGCACCGGCUAACUACGUG